This is a long non-coding RNA of Trifolium pratense (red clover), 2778 nucleotides long. RefSeq lists it as uncharacterized. The transcript is spliced from 5 exons. NCBI's taxonomy places the organism in Eukaryota, Viridiplantae, Streptophyta, Magnoliopsida, Fabales, Fabaceae. The record is from RefSeq and is a predicted model, not a curated record.
CGGGUUAUUGUGAUGUCCCAUGCAUGUUAUUAUAAAAACCUCCAAAUACAUCCUUAAACUAACAACAAAUUGGUCACAGUUUCAGUGAGAAGAAAUAACUGGAUCUUCAUUCAAAAUCAAAGGUGUGCAAGAUUUGAAAAACCAACUAUACUAUUACCAACAUGUCUUACCCAGUAAAAAUCGCACCUCAGGGAAACAAUGGCGAUAAUAUCAUAUCAAAGAUUAUCGAUACAGUUUGGGAGUACACGCCUUUCACUGGUAGCAGUAACGAAACAGUAGAUGAAAGAAUUAAGACCAGAAAAGCCUAUUUUGGUACAUCUCCCAUUACAAAUUUUCCAGCAAAAGUAAGUGACAGAAUGAAAACUACCUGGACAGACACAUCUACAAAUACUCCAAGUUAUGAAGCAGGACUAAACAGAAGGAUUGCAACUCAGGAGCCACGUAAAAAAGGAUACACCCAGGGACGGAUUCAAGGGUUGGCAGCCGGACCACAAAGAAAGCCAGAGGGAAGGAAAUACACUAAAUGACGCUAAAUGCUACUUGUGGCAGUUGAGCACCUGCAACAAUUUUCGGCAUCGCAAGAGUGUUUUGCGGCAGUUAGAGGCAACUGCUGGAACAAGCGCCACAAGAACAUCUGGCGGCUGUUUUCAGUUGCCGCUAUAAUAUAAACUAAAUCUAUUUAUUUGAUUGGUUUGCAGCGGUUGUAAACCGCUAGUAAACCCGAAUUGUAUUUUGAUAUUUUAUUUUUGCCAGUAUGUAACCGCUGUAAAAUGUAUUUUUUUCUGGUGCCAACUUGACUACCCAUUCUCAUGAAAUGGGUAAUGUAGCCCAUCCUAAAUGUAUUAGAUAUAUUGGUUGAAAAAAUAUCAUUUAUAAUAUAAUUAAAAUAUGAAUAGUUUUCAAUAAUGACAAUACAACUUUUAAUAAUUGUAGAUUGACCCCAUAUUAGAUUUCACAGUAUUUCUCGUGCUAUUCAUCUUCUCUCUUCCACCUUCCUCUUCUUCUUCCAUCUUCUCCGACGACGGCGACGGCGAAGACCACCGCCACCACGGUUUACAAAUUUUCUGUCAUUCUUUUCCAUCUUUUUCUACCUUCCACCUUCGUCUUCUUCUAUCUUCUCCGACUCAGCUUUUCCCUCCGUUCAGAUUACAAACCAUUGUUCCUUCUCUCCCUCCUUUCGUUGUUAUUCUCUCUUAUUUGAUCCAAAUUGAAAACCCUAUUCAUUUUUUUUUAUAAACCAAAACCCUAUUCCUUAAUAUUAGAUUCAAAACCAUAUGGAGAGAACCCUAACUUUUGUUUACCCCAAAUUUCGUAACAUGACGAGAACCCAUCUUUACAAAUUUAGUCUAUAACAAACAAGAAGACAAUUUAUUCUCUUUUCCAGUCGCUGAGUAAUUUUGUUGAGGUUAGAAGAUUUCAAUUUAAUUAUGAAUUGAUUUAUUAUUAGAUGCUUUGUAAUUGAAUUGAGUUAUUGUUGAUUUGUUGUUGUUAGGAACAUUGAAUUUAAUUGAGAAUAUUGUUAAUUGAUGUUGUCUUUUAUAUAGUUUCCUCAUUAUAUUACAAUUUAGAUUUAUAUUCAAAGAAAUGUAUUGUCCUUUAUAAUGUGUUUGGAACUUGCUGCCUACCUCAUGAGAUAUAGGGAUGAAUGGUUUGUAAUUUGGGAGGGUUCUCUUCAUGAAAGCUUUAACUGUAAUGGACAUGAAUAUGAAAAUGGAUUGGUUUGGUUUGGCAGGGUUAAAUUCAAAGAGCUCUGGUUCAGCUGGAAAUGAUUUGAGCAGUACAAAUAGUAAUUUAUUAGUGUAAAAAAUUCAAGCAGCUCUGGUUCACCUUCCUGUCGAUCAUCGGCUGCUUGUUCAAAAUCUUACCGCUCAGGUUUUCAACAAUGGUUCUGUACCAGCCUCAGCACAAGCUACUUUCCCAUAUAUAUUUGCAGUCAGCAAGUUGUUGCAGCCUGGUAGUUUUGAUCUUGUUGGUACUAUUAUAUAUGAAAUAGACGAGCAUCCAUACCAAAGCACCUUCUUUAACGGCACUGUUGAAGUUGUUGAAUAUGUUGGUUUUCUUAGCAUCGAAUCUAUUUUUCUUGUUACUCUUGGAAUUGCCCUCCUUGUCCUCCUAGGGCUAUGGAUUCAUGGUCACGUUCAAAACCUAUCUAAGGAUUAUAACGCAAAGCUUUCUGAUUUCGGGUUGGCAAAGGAUGGUCCAACAGGUGACAAAAGCCACUUCUCUACCCGAGUAAUGGGCACCUAUUGAUACGCAGCUCCUGAAUAUCUAGCCACAUGUAUAUUUGAGUUCAUGUUGUCGAACCAUAUAUGUUUUUCGAUUCUCCUUUUAUAAUUUUGUUAACUUAUUCUCGGUUCAGCUUAGUAGCAUUUCAGUUAAUAGCAAAAAAAUCAUUGUUACCGCAGGUCAUCUUACUACUAAGAGCGAUGUUUAUAGUUAUGGAGUUGUCCUGCUGGAAAUGUUAUAUGGUAAGAGGGCAGUUGACAAGAAUAUACCAUCUCGACAACACAACUUGGUGGAAUAGGCUAAACCGUAUCUCGCUAACAAAUGUAAGGUUUUCAGUGUGUUAGAUAGCCGACUCAAAGGACAGCACUCAUCAGAGAAUCUCUACGAGGUUAAAGAAAGCUUUUAGUUUCAUUGGCGUAGCUGGUGCAUGCAGGAGGUUAAAGAAAGUUCAUGUAAAGUUGUGUGCAACUUGAUAACAUUGUAAUAUGUAUUUGAAUUAUAAUAUGUAUUUUUCGUUUCAUAUCUAUUAAUUUUUUUUAGUAUUUACCCAAA